GACGAACGCUGGCGGCGUGCUUAACACAUGCAAGUCGAACGAUGAAGCCGGAGCUUGCUCUGGUGAAUUAGUGGCGAACGGGUGAGUAACACGUGAGUAACCUGCCCUUGACUCUGGGAUAACUGCGGGAAACUGUAGCUAAUACCGGAUACGACCAUCGGAGGCAUCUCCUGGGGGUGGAAAGAAUUUCGGUCAAGGAUGGACUCGCGGCCUAUCAGCUAGUUGGGGAGGGAAAGGCUCACCAAGGCGACGACGGGUAGCCGGCCUGAGAGGGUGACCGGCCACACUGGGACUGAGACACGGCCCAGACUCCUACGGGAGGCAGCAGUGGGGAAUAUUGCACAAUGGGCGCAAGCCUGAUGCAGCAACGCCGCGUGAGGGAUGACGGCCUUCGGGUUGUAAACCUCUUUUAGCAGGGAAGAAGCGAAAGUGACGGUACCUGCAGAAAAAGCACCGGCUAACUACGUGCCAGCCGCCGCGGUAA
RNAcentral lists this ribosomal RNA (484 nucleotides) under uncultured bacterium. RNAcentral describes it as "partial 16S ribosomal RNA". It matches the Rfam family "Bacterial small subunit ribosomal RNA", at positions 28 to 523 of the family's 1533-position model. The record is from RNAcentral.